RNAcentral lists this non-coding RNA (108 nucleotides) under Corynebacterium glutamicum. Its description in RNAcentral is "6C RNA". The stretch from base 25 to 103 matches the Rfam family "6C RNA". Lineage: Bacteria; Bacillati; Actinomycetota; Actinomycetes; Mycobacteriales; Corynebacteriaceae. The record is from RNAcentral.
GCAAGGCCCCGAUAUACAGUGUGGCCUGCCCCGGCACAAUCCCCCCCCGUUGCCGGGUUACUGACGGCCCGCGCACACCCCCCCGAGGCGCGGGCCGUCCCUUAUUUU